Molecule: ribosomal RNA, 694 nt
Filed under: uncultured organism
Description: bacterial SSU rRNA
Rfam family: Bacterial small subunit ribosomal RNA
Source: RNAcentral
CCUAGCUAUAAACGAUGAUGCUAGGUGUGGGGUCGAGAAAGACUCCGUGCCGGAGCCAACGCGAUAAGCAUCCCGCCUGGGGACUACGGCCGCAAGGCUAAAACUCAAACGAAUUGACGGGGCCCCGCACAAGCAGCGGAGCGUGUGGUUCAAUUCGAUGCUACACGAAGAACCUUACCUGGGUUUGACAUGGAGGUGGUAGGGAAGCGAAAGCGGACCGACCCUUCGGGGAGCCUUCACAGGUGCUGCAUGGCUGUCGUCAGCUCGUGCCGUGAGGUGUCGGGUUAAGUCCCGUAACGAGCGCAACCCUUGCCCUUAGUUACAAGUGUCUAAGGGGACUGCCGGCGGUAAGCCGGAGGAAGGUGGGGAUGACGUCAAGUCAGCAUGGCCCUUAUAUCCAGGGCUACACACACGCUACAAUGGUCGGUACAAAGGGCAGCGAAGCCGCGAGGUGAAGCGAAUCCCAUCAAAGCCGAUCGUAGUUCGGAUUGCAGGCUGCAACUCGCCUGCAUGAAGCUGGAGUUGCUAGUAACCGCGCGUCAGCCAUAGUGCGGUGAAUACGUUCCCGGGGCUUGUACACACCGCCCGUCACGUCAUGGGAGUCGGUAACACCUGAAGCCGGUGGCUCAACUCGCAAGAGGGAGUGCCGUCUAAGGCGGGGCUGGCAACUGGGACGAAGUCGUAACAAGGUAAC